GCCAGGCGUGGUGGCACGUGCCUGUAGUCCCAGCUACUCGGGAGGCUGAGGUGGGAGGAUCGCUUGAGUCCAGUAGUUCUGGGCUGUAGUGCGCUAUGCUGAUCAGGUGUCCGCACUAAGUUGGGCAUCAAUAUGGCGACCUCCCGGGAGCGGGGGACCACCAGGUUGCCUAAGGAGGGGUGAAGCAGGUCAGAACUCCCCUGCUGAUCAGUAGUGGGAUCGUGCCUGCGAAUAGCCACUGCACUCCAGCCUGGGCAACAUAGCGAGACCCCGUCUCUG
Callithrix jacchus (white-tufted-ear marmoset) is the source of this 279-nucleotide unclassified non-coding RNA. It matches the Rfam family "Metazoan signal recognition particle RNA". Rfam says of the family: The signal recognition particle (SRP) is a universally conserved ribonucleoprotein. It is involved in the co-translational targeting of proteins to membranes. The eukaryotic SRP consists of a 300-nucleotide 7S RNA and six proteins: SRPs 72, 68, 54, 19, 14, and 9. The record is from Ensembl. NCBI's taxonomy places the organism in Eukaryota, Metazoa, Chordata, Mammalia, Primates, Cebidae.